GGUCAGAUAGCUAAAUUGGUAGAGCAACCAAGGCCGGUAUCAUUAGAUGGGUCAUUAGUGGUUUUUGGGUUCGAAUCCCGAUCUGACCU
RNAcentral lists this transfer RNA (89 nucleotides) under Dreissena polymorpha. It matches the Rfam family "tRNA". Rfam says of the family: Transfer RNA (tRNA) molecules are approximately 80 nucleotides in length. Their secondary structure includes four short double-helical elements and three loops (D, anti-codon, and T loops). Lineage: Eukaryota; Metazoa; Mollusca; Bivalvia; Myida; Dreissenidae. The record is from Rfam by way of RNAcentral.